AUGGAGAGUUUGAUCCUGGCUCAGGAUGAACGCUAGCGGCAGGCCUAAUACAUGCAAGUCGAACGAGAUUCAAGACUUCGGUUUUGAUGAAAGUGGCGCACGGGUGCGUAACGCGUAUGCAACCUACCCUUAACUGGGGGAUAGCCCGGAGAAAUUCGGAUUAAUACCCCAUAGUAUCACAAGAUGGCAUCUGAAAGUGAUUAAAGAUUUAUUGGUUAAGGAUGGGCAUGCGUGACAUUAGAUAGUUG
This 248-nucleotide ribosomal RNA is filed under the name uncultured Isochrysis. RNAcentral's name for it is "partial Bacterial small subunit ribosomal RNA". It matches the Rfam family "Bacterial small subunit ribosomal RNA", at positions 1 to 251 of the family's 1533-position model. Lineage: Eukaryota; Haptophyta; Isochrysidales. The record is from RNAcentral.